This is a long non-coding RNA of Chenopodium quinoa (quinoa), 955 nucleotides long. RefSeq lists it as uncharacterized. NCBI's taxonomy places the organism in Eukaryota, Viridiplantae, Streptophyta, Magnoliopsida, Caryophyllales, Amaranthaceae. The transcript is spliced from 2 exons. The record is from RefSeq and is a predicted model, not a curated record.
UGUUAUUAUUUUCAUGAAAACUCAUAACAUUAGUUUCAAAAAAAUUACUAAGUUUAUUAUUCAUCAAAUAAACAAUCAAAGCAAAAAGGCUAAAGGGAAGAAAAAUCUCUAGAGAUCGCUAUCAAGAUUCACAAUGGAACAAGGUAUAAAGAUGGCACUUUGAAGCUUUUGGAUAAAGAAGAAAAGAAGUUGGAGGCAAGAAGAGGAAAAAAAAGGAGCUAUGGAAGAAUGAAUCAAUGAAGGAAAAAUGAAUGGAGCAUGGAAAAGUGUCUAAGAGUUAAAUAAGAGCAUUUGGAAGGGUUUUGGAAGGAUUUUUGCACUAAGGUCCAAUUCAAAUGACUAUAAAUUAUUUUCUACUUAAUAUUUUGAAGUCAUUCAAAUUGGAGAUUAAAGCUCAUCUAAAGAGCUUUCCAACGACUAGUCACAUGCCUUUUUUUCAAUAAGAAAUGAAGAAGUUAUGGCCUUCCAAAACAAAGCUGUUUUCGUUAGAAACUGCUGCACGCCCGUGCCAAAAAGUGGCAUGUCCGUACAUAUCCUUGCACGUCCGUGCCAAAUUCUGCACGUCUAUGCAAGGCAGGCAGUAGCUACUGCAAUUAUUUUAACAGGUUUGCACGUCCGUGCCGAACUGUAAACAAGUUGUUUCCUCAUUUUCUCUGUCUUUCUACUUGGGGGUUAUAGCUACUGCAUUUAUUUUAACAGGUUUGCACGUCCGUGGUGAACUGUAGAUAAGCCGUUUCCUCAUUUUCUCCAUCCUUCAACUUGGGGGAUAUAUAAUACCCCUUUGGCUUCAUUUGGAGGGAGGAUCUUCUUCCCUUUUAGACUUCUUAGGCCCUUAGUUUCAUAGAACUCUCUUAAUUUAGCAUUGAUUCUCUCAAAACUCAAUCAUUGUAAUAGUUUAAUUGAUGUUUUUUCUCUUAAUUUCAACAAUUCCUCAACUUUGAAGCUUCAUUAGUAA